This 277-nucleotide ribosomal RNA is filed under the name uncultured Sanguibacteroides sp. RNAcentral describes it as "partial 16S ribosomal RNA". It matches the Rfam family "Bacterial small subunit ribosomal RNA", at positions 511 to 788 of the family's 1533-position model. The record is from RNAcentral. Lineage: Bacteria; Pseudomonadati; Bacteroidota; Bacteroidia; Bacteroidales; Porphyromonadaceae.
GCAGCCGCGGUAACACGGGGGAUGCGAGCGUUAUCCGGAAUUAUUGGGUUUAAAGGGAGCGUAGGUUGCUUGUCAAGUCAGCGGUCAAAUACUGCAGCUAAACUGUAGGCAGCCGUUGAAACUGGCGAGCUCGAGUGAGGACGAGGUUGGCGGAACAGGUGAAGUAGCGGUGAAAUGCAUAGAUAUCACCUGGAACCCCGAUAGCGAAGGCAGCUAACCAGGCCUUAACUGACACUGAUGCUCGAGAGCGUGGGUAGCGAACAGGAUUAGAUACCCC